Molecule: non-coding RNA, 324 nt
Organism: Camellia sinensis
Lineage: Eukaryota; Viridiplantae; Streptophyta; Magnoliopsida; Ericales; Theaceae
Source: RefSeq, a predicted model, not a curated record
GAGGUACAAUCUAAAGCAAGAGUUCCUCGAACUUGAGGAAAAGGGUGUUGAUGACCCCUAUAGUCAUCCACCUAGUGGAGUGAGCUUGGAUGACUAGAAAUAUCUUAUUGAUGUUGCUUGGAAAGACGAAUCUCACUUGAAAUGCUCUAAAGCUGGUAAAGCAAAUAGGGGUAUGCUCCCCUACAAUCAUACAAGUGAAUCGCGAUCAUUUCCUAUAGCAAUGUCGCUUAUGGCAAAUGAGGAUGGAGAAAUAGAUUUCCCUGAAUUUUAUAAGAAAUCACACAAGUCCAAGAAGACGGGAGACAAGAUUGACCCCAAAUGUGG